This is a non-coding RNA of Nothobranchius furzeri (turquoise killifish), 2667 nucleotides long. NCBI's taxonomy places the organism in Eukaryota, Metazoa, Chordata, Actinopteri, Cyprinodontiformes, Nothobranchiidae. The record is from RefSeq and is a predicted model, not a curated record.
AACACGCGCCUGGUUUAUUUUACAGUGUAUGUGAUCCCGCGUAUGGAUUUGUAGUUCAGAGGUUUAUUGUUGACUUUGAUCAGUCGGAUGAAAUGAAAGGUACACAUUUGUUUUUAAAGGCGUUGACAGCUAAUUAACGAGGGACAACUAAAGUCGUCAUUCUUUGGCAUUUUUGGAAGUAGUUUAGAAGUUCAAAUGCCUCUGUUUGUUGUUGUUGACAGAUAUCUUGGAGAAGAGGAAGAUGGAAGCGUCUCCAAAGAGUCUCAGAGUCGGGUGCUGCUGGCUAAGCUGCAGCAGAAGGUGAAACAGAAGCAGAGACAGAGUCUGACAGAGCAGAGAGAAUCUGCGCAGAAAGCAGCAGGAUGAUAAAAACAAAGAAGAUGCAGAUAAAAACAGCAGUAAAGAUCAUCAGGUCCGCAAGAAGAGAAAAUCCAAAGUUGGAGCUCUGUGUGAUUCAGACCUUGACAACAAUGCUGCAAAGAAGAAGAAGGGGAAGACGCAGUUAGCUCAAGAUGUUUCUUCUGUGAGCAGAAGCAAUGAAACAGAGGACAAAAGACCUGGAGGAGUCAGAAAAAGAUUGAUCAAAACCAAAGCCAGAGAAAACUUUGUCCCCAGCAGGAUACACUGUUCUUGGUGGAUUUGACAGCAAAGUCCUUCAGAAGGUGUGACAGUAUGAUGACGGUAAAAGAGCCAGGCUUUUACCUUCUCAUCCAUUCUUUAUUGUUCUCUUCACAAGUGCACAGUGUUCUUCCUCAGUGGCUCGCUGAUUCCGAUGUCAUUCACAGAGACAUUAAAUGCAAACUGACACCCAUUUCUGCUGCGUCAGGGGUUUGUGCUCAGCUCCUGAAAAAACUGGAAAAUAAUGGAAUUCAUCACUUCUUUCCCGGUGAAGAAACUAGAAUCUAAUGCUGGUUUCUCAACUGCUUAUUGCUUAAGAGUUUACUAUGAUUCUGUUUUGUUUACAUUUAAAUUGUGUUUGAGGAUAUUUUUAUUUAUCAUAUAGUUCUUCAAAUUAGGUAGAGCAGUUGGGUCGUUCCAAAGCAGUUUGAUGGCUUUUGCUGAGCGAUGCAACAUGGGAGACACGGUUAUUUUUGUUGAAAGGGUUUUUUUUUUAAAGGAUACGUGUAAAACGGUUUGGUGAUCCUUUUCGGUGCAAGCAGAGGUGAUCCCAGCCAUCUUGGUGGGUGCACAGUCUGCUAGUUGGUGGAGGAGGCUACAGUGGCAAGACUCUUUCAUUUGUUAUACCUGUUGUAUAGGUACUUGUAUUCUUAAAGAGAAAUAUUUGUUUUGCGGUACAUGCCGGGCCUAGUGUGUGUGUAAGCUGCAUUGUGUGAUUGUUUUCAGGCGCUGAUGCAGCGGGUGGUGUGUGAAGUCCGGGCUUUGGCUGUACUCCCAACCAAAGAGCUUGUCCAACAGGUUUACAACGUUUUUGCCUCCUACGCUGAAGGAACGCCACUAAAAGUGUUGAUGCUGGCUGGCCAGAAGUCUUUUGCUGCAAAUAGGCAAAUAUGACAAUGAUAUCUGUAAUCUCCUUAGCUCUAAAGGCAUUCCACCUGCUUCAAUUUGGAGUGCACAUAUCGGGGAGGAUCUCAUUGCACCUAAACAGAGUCUUAAGGACAGCACCCUGAAUAGCAUCCAGCUUUUUUAAUCUUGAUUUCGCUGCAGACGCAUAUGCAAGACACCCAUAAUCAAUAACAGAUCUAAUCAACCCAGUAUAGUCUUUUCAUAGCAACUAUGGCUGCCCCCCCAUUCCUUACUACACAAACAUCUGAAUAUAUUCACAACUUUUUUACACUUAUCUACUAGUUUAUCGUUAUGAUAAUGCCAAUUAAGUCUAUAAUCAAAAUGCUCAAAACACUUUUCCUUCUUCUAAGUUGCUGUUGGACUUCUUCUUCUGGUGCUUUUUCCUGCAGCUGCUGUUUGUGGAGUAGCAAUACUGCCCUCUGCUGGUCUUGUUCAGCUCUGUUUAUUAAAGUUUCACCAUCAAAAAUGGACCUGAGAUGAACUGUUCACUAGCCUGGCAAGCCAGACUAAAUACAUGUAUUAUUUAGUCUGGCCACGCUCCAUUGACGGCUCUCGGUUGUGGGGCGGGUUCUACCGUUGUCUUUCAAAUGAUCUCCGCAUUCCAUUGGACAAUGAAUGUGACAUACUCUUGUUUCACUCUGUUGCAUCAUCCCACCCACCAGGCAUAUAGAGUGCCCUGAUUGGCCCACAAAGCGGAUAAAGCUCUGUGAUUUGUUCACUAAGCAGAUAGAGCACUAUGAUUGGCCCACCAUUAUGGACCAAUCACAGCUCUUUAUGUGUUUGAAACCCCUCUAGAGAGCUGUGAUUGGCUAGCCAGAGUCCUGGUAGGAGCUGCUGAGGUUCCAAUGGAGCAUGCCUAGACCAUUCUUUGCAAAGCAAGAAUUUGGUCUAGUUCACUAGGCUAACUGUUCACUUCACUAAAAUGUAAAGUUUAAAGAGAUUGUGCAAGAUUACUUGCUGAAGUGUCUGAGAUUUUCUAAAAAGAGUUAGCUAAAUAAAAAAUAUAUAGAAAUUCUAAUAUUGUCCCACAGGAACAGAUAUGACAGAAUUUGUGUAUUUAUUUCAUUUUUUUGUUUUUUUUUUGUUUUUUAGCCUUACAUUGUGUUAGUGAGAUGGGCAUAGGCAGAGAUCCCAGGGGGGAUG